UAAGUAAUUGAGACAGUUACCCCGCACCCUUUAGGUCGGGGAGGAAAGUCCAGGCACUAUAGAGCAUUGUAUCCCGCCAAAUGGCGGGACCGGGUGACCGAGGGAAAGUACAACAGAAACAUACCGCUAACCGCCGCAAGGUAGGAGUAAGGUUGAAAUCGUGAGGUAAGAGCUCACGCGUGUCCAUGGUAACAUGGUGCGGUGGAAACCCUACAUGGUGCAAGUCCGGUGGGCCUCAACUAUCAUCAUAGUUUGCUCGACUAGGUGGCCUGAGGUCCGGACGCUUAGAUAGAUGCUGUCAAAACAGAACCUGGCUUAUCGAUUACUUAGGGC
This 333-nucleotide RNase P RNA is filed under the name Candidatus Berkelbacteria bacterium. Its description in RNAcentral is "RNase P RNA component class A". It matches the Rfam family "Bacterial RNase P class A". Rfam says of the family: Ribonuclease P (RNase P) is a ubiquitous endoribonuclease, found in archaea, bacteria and eukarya as well as chloroplasts and mitochondria. Its best characterised activity is the generation of mature 5'-ends of tRNAs by cleaving the 5'-leader elements of precursor-tRNAs. Cellular RNase Ps are ribonucleoproteins. The record is from RNAcentral. Lineage: Bacteria; Candidatus Berkelbacteria.